AGCAGCCGCGGUAAUUCCAGCUCCAAUAGCGUAUAUUAAAGUUGUUGCAGUUAAAAAGCUCGUAGUUGAAUUUCGGGAUCAAUGCGUCGGUCGUGCUUUCGGGUACGUACUGGUGUCAUUGGUUUCUCCUUUCUGACGAGCCGUGAUGUCAUUAAUUUGGUGUUACGGGUAGUUAGGACUGUUACUUUGAAAAAAUUAGAGUGUUUAAAGCAGGCAUUGGCUUGAAUACAUUAGCAUGGAAUAAUGAAAUAGGACGUUCGAUCCUAUUUUGUUGGUUUCUAGGAUCAACGUAAUGAUUAAUAGGGAUAGUUGGGGGCAUUAGUAUUCAAUUGUCAGAGGUGAAAUUCUUGGAUUUAUUGAAGACUAACUACUGCGAAAGCAUUUGCCAAGGAUGUUUUCAUUAAUCAAGAACGAAAGUUAGGGGAUCGAAGACGAUCAGAUACCGUCGUAGUCUUAACCAUAAACUAUAGCCGACUAGGGAUCGGAUGAUGUUAAUUUUUAAUGACUCAUUCGGCGCCUU
This 520-nucleotide ribosomal RNA is filed under the name uncultured Glomus. Its description in RNAcentral is "SSU rRNA". It matches the Rfam family "Eukaryotic small subunit ribosomal RNA", at positions 569 to 1089 of the family's 1831-position model. Lineage: Eukaryota; Fungi; Glomeromycota; Glomeromycetes; Glomerales; Glomeraceae. The record is from RNAcentral.